Anopheles stephensi (Asian malaria mosquito) is the source of this 624-nucleotide long non-coding RNA. RefSeq lists it as uncharacterized. The transcript has 2 exons. The record is from RefSeq and is a predicted model, not a curated record. NCBI's taxonomy places the organism in Eukaryota, Metazoa, Arthropoda, Insecta, Diptera, Culicidae.
UGUACGCACAGGUGCCAAGGGUAUUUGUUUGUCUUGGAAGCGGUUGAUUCAUGCCACGACGUGUUUGGAGCACGUGUAUGCACCUUACCAUUUGCUGAUAAGAAAACUUGAGAUCGAUGAUGUAUGCCAUUGGGCAAAUGCAUCUGUGCAUUAGUCAUAUCCGAUUGAAGAAGACUCCCUUUCCUCUAGAAUGCAGCUAACAGUCAUUUGGAUAGAGUCGCUAAAGGAAAAGGUCGAGGGAUUGCAAUAGAAGAAUUGAUUUUGCUCGACACCGAGAAUUGCACCUCUCGCAGUCACAAAGAGAAAAUGCGUGGCUGCAUAACCAAACGCCGGUGUCACGGUGUCGUGAUGCUUCAGACGGCCUGGUGUCCAUAGUGGCCUUUUACCACGUCGCGACGCUUUUUCAUCACAACGGGCCACUGUUCCCACAAUCGGAACUUUGGAAAGUGUGACAAGUUCGACAUUAUUUAUUAAAACACUCGCCGUUUGGGCGGUCCGGUGAUCAAGGCAAUAACUGACCAAUCUCAUCGGUGACCAAUAGAAUUUUUCGAACGACUAAUAUUUAUCAUUCGAUAACAAUACGACCAGUUCUAAUGAAUAAAAAAAUCUAUCAUACUACUAUUU